This is a long non-coding RNA of Sinocyclocheilus rhinocerous, 322 nucleotides long. RefSeq lists it as uncharacterized. The transcript has 4 exons. The record is from RefSeq and is a predicted model, not a curated record. NCBI's taxonomy places the organism in Eukaryota, Metazoa, Chordata, Actinopteri, Cypriniformes, Cyprinidae.
AAAGAAUGAUUCAUUAGCGAAUCAGACGUCGCUAUUGCUUCUCUAGUCUAAGCAGGAAUCAGGUGUCAUUGUGGAGUUUCCCCAGGGAUCCGAUGUGUGCUGUAAAUGAAUGUGGCAUCUCAUUAACAAUCAACAUGCUCUCCGUGAAGAUUGACCGCCCUGCGUUUACAGGAGGUGAUAGCUCAGAGGUAGCAGGAGGCCUGGCCCUCGUUACGUGUGCGUCCGGGGAGAGACAGCAGUUUACAGAGCUGUGUGUGAGCAGGGAGAUGAAUGAACGGCACGGUGAAAUAAUCAAUUAUCACUCUCUUCACCGCUGGAACAG